Long non-coding RNA from Arabidopsis thaliana (thale cress), 326 nucleotides. RefSeq annotates it as other RNA. The transcript has a single exon. The record is from RefSeq. NCBI's taxonomy places the organism in Eukaryota, Viridiplantae, Streptophyta, Magnoliopsida, Brassicales, Brassicaceae.
UCAUCUGUUUCGAAAUUUGGAGAACUUCCAAAAUUUGCUGCCUUUGGUUUGGUUAGAAUUCAUAGGCAUAUACAGAUAAUACGAAUUUGAAAAAAAAAGAUGGUUUUGCAGUUUUGUCUAUUAAAAGGUCUUGGACUCUAUGAUGAUGUCUUGUUAAAGAUUCUAUGAGUAAGGAUGAAUCUAGUUCUCAUUCAAAGAAAUCUGUAUAGACGAGUCAUUUAAGAGUCCAUUAAUUCAUGAUGGAAAUCUAUCAUUAUCUGUUAAAAAAAAAAACCAUUUUGGGGCUCAAAAUCUCACAAAGAGAAAAGCCUUUUCUGAUGACAAAA